UACGGGGGGGGCAAGCGUUGUUCGGAAUUACUGGGCGUAAAGGGCUCGUAGGUGGCCAACUAAGUCGGAUGUGAAAUCCCCAGGCUCAACCUGGGAACUGCGUCUGAUACUGGAUGGCUUGAAUCCGGGAGAGGGAUGUGGAAUUCCAGGUGUAGCGGUGAAAUGCGUAGAUAUCUGGAGGAACACCGGUGGCGAAGGCGGCAUCCUGGACCGGUAUUGACGCUGAGGCGCGAAAGCUAGGGGAGCAAACGGG
This 253-nucleotide ribosomal RNA is filed under the name uncultured bacterium. Its description in RNAcentral is "partial 16S ribosomal RNA". It matches the Rfam family "Bacterial small subunit ribosomal RNA", at positions 524 to 776 of the family's 1533-position model. The record is from RNAcentral.